CACAUCACAUUUACUAUAUAUAUAUGUAUGUAUAUUUACAUAUGUAAAUUACUUUUUAUAUAAAUUUUAUAUAUAUUUUUUACAUAUGUAAAUUACUUUUUAUAUAAAUUUUUAAAAUUCUAAAAUGACUUAUUAUUUAAUUAAUAUGUAUAUAUAUAUGGUAAUUACCAAGAGUACUUUCAGUGUACGCACCCAAAGACCAAUAUGCACCCGUAUAUGUAUAUGUACGUAGAUACAUGCAUA
RNAcentral lists this long non-coding RNA (243 nucleotides) under Carica papaya (papaya). RNAcentral's name for it is "long non-coding RNA (CPAP_LNC016032)". The record is from RNAcentral. Lineage: Eukaryota; Viridiplantae; Streptophyta; Magnoliopsida; Brassicales; Caricaceae.